GGCAGGGGGGCAGACUACCAUGCAGUCGAGCGAGAACUUCGGUUCUAGCGGCGGACGGGUUAGUAACGCGUGGGAACGUGCCCUUCACUACGGAAUAGUCCCGGGAAACUGGGUUUAAUACCGUAUACGCCCUUCGGGGGAAAGAAUUUCGGUGAAGGAUCGGCCCGCGUUAGAUUAGAUAGUUGGUGGGGUAACGGCCUACCAAGUCUACGAUCUAUAGCUGGUUUUAGAGGAUGAUCAGCAACACUGGGACUGAGACACGGCCCAGACUCCUACGGGAGGCAGCAGUGGGGAAUCUUAGACAAUGGGCGCAAGCCUGAUCUAGCCAUGCCGCGUGAGUGAUGAAGGCCUUAGGGUCGUAAAGCUCUUUCGCCAGGGAUGAUAAUGACAGUACCUGGUAAAGAAACCCCGGCUAACUCCGUGCCAGCAGCCGCGGUAAUACGGAGGGGGUUAGCGUUGUUCGGAAUUACUGGGCGUAAAGCGCGCGUAGGCGGAUUGGAAAGUUGGGGGUGAAAUCCCAGGGCUCAACCCUGGAACUGCCUCCAAAACUAUCAGUCUAGAGUUCGAGAGAGGUGAGUGGAACUCCGAGUGUAGAGGUGAAAUUCGUAGA
RNAcentral lists this ribosomal RNA (610 nucleotides) under Roseovarius sp. RNAcentral's name for it is "bacterial SSU rRNA". It matches the Rfam family "Bacterial small subunit ribosomal RNA", at positions 38 to 694 of the family's 1533-position model. Lineage: Bacteria; Pseudomonadati; Pseudomonadota; Alphaproteobacteria; Rhodobacterales; Roseobacteraceae. The record is from RNAcentral.